ACGCUCGACACCUACGGAAGGCAGCAGUGGGGAAUAUUGCACAAUGGGGGAAACCCUGAUGCAGCGACGCCGCGUGAGCGAAGAAGUAUUUCGGUAUGUAAAGCUCUAUCAGCAGGGAAGAAACUGACGGUACCUGACUAAGAAGCACCGGCUAAAUACGUGCCCGCAGCCGCGGUAAUCUGAGCGGGCUGGCAAGGC
This 198-nucleotide ribosomal RNA is filed under the name uncultured bacterium. RNAcentral's name for it is "partial 16S ribosomal RNA". It matches the Rfam family "Bacterial small subunit ribosomal RNA", at positions 326 to 539 of the family's 1533-position model. The record is from RNAcentral.